UGCCAGCCGCCGCGGUAAUACGGAGGGGGUUAGCGUUGUUCGGAAUUACUGGGCGUAAAGCGUACGUAGGCGGAUUAAUAAGUUAGAGGUGAAAUCCAGGGCUCAACCCUGGAACUGCCUUUAAAACUGUUAGUCUUGAGAUCGAGAGAGGUGAGUGGAAUUCUCGGUGUAGCAGUGAAAUGCGUAGAUAUCGAGAGGAACAUCAAUGGCGAAGGCAACUUACUGGACAUUUACUGACGCUCAGACACGAAGGCUAGGGGAGCGAAAGGGAUUAGAUA
This 278-nucleotide ribosomal RNA is filed under the name uncultured bacterium. Its description in RNAcentral is "partial 16S ribosomal RNA". It matches the Rfam family "Bacterial small subunit ribosomal RNA", at positions 506 to 784 of the family's 1533-position model. The record is from RNAcentral.